Molecule: ribosomal RNA, 388 nt
Filed under: uncultured Desulfovibrio sp.
Lineage: Bacteria; Pseudomonadati; Thermodesulfobacteriota; Desulfovibrionia; Desulfovibrionales; Desulfovibrionaceae
Description: bacterial SSU rRNA
Rfam family: Bacterial small subunit ribosomal RNA
Source: RNAcentral
CUGGAAACAGAGAAGUGCUUUAGCAAUAAAGAACCCGGUGACAGGUGCUGCAUGGCUGUCGUCAGCUCGUGUCGUGAGAUGUUGGGUUAAGUCCCGCAACGAGCGCAACCCUCGCCUUUAGUUGCCAGCAUUCAGUUGGGCACUCUAGAGGGACUGCCCGGGUGUCAAACCGGAGGAAGGUGGGAUGACGUCAAGUCCUCAUGGCCUUUAUGUCUAGGGCUACACACGUACUACAAUGGCCGGUACAAAGGGCAGCCACUCAGCGAUGAGGCGCUAAUCCCAUAAAGCCGGUCUCAGUCCGGAUCGCAGUCUGCAACUCGACUGCGUGAAGUUGGAAUCGCUAGUAAUCGUAGAUCAGCAUGCUACGGUGAAUACGUUCCCGGGCCUU